Molecule: ribosomal RNA, 588 nt
Filed under: Pseudoalteromonas shioyasakiensis
Lineage: Bacteria; Pseudomonadati; Pseudomonadota; Gammaproteobacteria; Alteromonadales; Pseudoalteromonadaceae
Description: bacterial SSU rRNA
Rfam family: Bacterial small subunit ribosomal RNA
Source: RNAcentral
UUGCACCUCUGGCGUCGAGCGGCGGACGGGUGAGUAAUGCUUGGGAAUAUGCCUUAUGGUGGGGGACAACAGUUGGAAACGACUGCUAAUACCGCAUGAUGUCUACGGACCAAAGUGGGGGACCUUCGGGCCUCACGCCAUAAGAUUAGCCCAAGUGGGAUUAGCUAGUUGGUGAGGUAAUGGCUCACCAAGGCGACGAUCCCUAGCUGGUUUGAGAGGAUGAUCAGCCACACUGGGACUGAGACACGGCCCAGACUCCUACGGGAGGCAGCAGUGGGGAAUAUUGCACAAUGGGCGCAAGCCUGAUGCAGCCAUGCCGCGUGUGUGAAGAAGGCCUUCGGGUUGUAAAGCACUUUCAGUAAGGAGGAAAGGUUAAGUGUUAAUAGCACUUAGCUGUGACGUUACUUACAGAAGAAGCACCGGCUAACUCCGUGCCAGCAGCCGCGGUAAUACGGAGGGUGCGAGCGUUAAUCGGAAUUACUGGGCGUAAAGCGUACGCAGGCGGUUUGUUAAGCGAGAUGUGAAAGCCCCGGGCUCAACCUGGGAACUGCAUUUCGAACUGGCAAACUAGAGUGUGAUAGAGGGUGG